AGUGAUCAUUGGCGGCAGGCUUAACACAUGCAAGUCGAGCGAGGCCAAGAGCCGAGCGGCGAACGGGUGAGUAAUACUUGGGAAUCUACCCCGGAGUGUGGGACAACGUUCAGAAAUGGACGCUAAUACCACAUAAUCCAUAUUGGGAAAGCGCGCAGCACUCUGGGAUGAGCCCAUGUCUGAUUAGCUAGUUGGUGGGGUAAAGGCCUACCAAGGCGACGAUCAGUAGCUGGUCUGAGAGGAUGAUCAGCCACACUGGAACUGAGACACGGUCCAGACUCCUACGGGAGGCAGCAGUGGGGAAUAUUGGACAAUGGGGGCAACCCUGAUCCAGCCAUGCCGCGUGUGCGAUGAAGGCCCUAGGGUUGUAAAGCACUUUUGGCGGGGACGACGAUGACGGUACCCGCAGAAUAAGUCACGGCUAACUUCGUGCCAGCAGCCGCGGUAA
RNAcentral lists this ribosomal RNA (448 nucleotides) under uncultured bacterium. RNAcentral's name for it is "partial 16S ribosomal RNA". It matches the Rfam family "Bacterial small subunit ribosomal RNA", at positions 29 to 523 of the family's 1533-position model. The record is from RNAcentral.